ACGGGAGGCAGCAGUAAGGGAUAUUGGGCAAUGGGGGGAACCCUGACCCAGCCAUGCCGCGUGAGGGAAUGAGGCCCUACGGGUCGUGAACCUCUUUUGCCUGGGGAUAACCCCUCCCGCGCGACGGGGGGCUGCAGGUACCAGGCGAAUAAGCAUCGGCUAACUCCGUGCCAGCAGCCGCGGUAAUACGGAGGAUGCGAGCGUUAUCCGGAUUCAUUGGGUUUAAAGGGAGCGUAGGCGGCCUUUUAAGUCAGCGGUCAAAUGUCAGCGCCCAACGCUGGCCUGCCGUUGAUACUGAUGGGCUUGAAUACACACAAGGAAGGUGGAAUUCGUCGUGUAGCGGUGAAAUGCUUAGAUAUGACGAAGAACUCCGAUUGCGAAGGCAGCCUUCUGGAGUGCGAUUGACGCUGAGGCUCGAAAGCGCGGGUAUCAAACAGGAUUAGAUACCCUGGUA
RNAcentral lists this ribosomal RNA (454 nucleotides) under uncultured Paraprevotella sp. RNAcentral's name for it is "partial 16S ribosomal RNA". It matches the Rfam family "Bacterial small subunit ribosomal RNA", at positions 341 to 792 of the family's 1533-position model. The record is from RNAcentral. Lineage: Bacteria; Pseudomonadati; Bacteroidota; Bacteroidia; Bacteroidales; Prevotellaceae.